This 947-nucleotide long non-coding RNA is filed under the name Helianthus annuus (common sunflower). The record is from RNAcentral. Lineage: Eukaryota; Viridiplantae; Streptophyta; Magnoliopsida; Asterales; Asteraceae.
CCUCACUAAAAUCAUCCCCGCCCAAAUUUUCCCAAUUUCUCAAAAACCCAAAUUCCCCCUAAUCCUUGAAACCUAAAUUGAGCAUUUUCCCUCGAACAUCCCUCUCUUUGUCUCGCUAUCAAUCCAACAGCAAUAAGCAUCCAUCAUUCGAGGUCUGUGUGACCUACAGCUUCUAGCAGUGGUGCUGCUCAAGCGUGGCAGAGAGUCUGAUUGUGAUAUGGAUUGGGGUAUAAAGGGGCUGACUUGGGGAAGUGGCACAUUUGGUCAACUUGUUCAUGGAGAUCUGGUUAAUAACUUAGAGCCAAAAUCAGUACAAGUUCUAUAUAACUUCAAUAUAACCCAUGUUUCAGCCGGAUGGAACUAGGGGUGCAAACGUGCCAAGCCGAGCCUAAGCUCUAUUAGAUUCAAGUUUUGUUUCUAAGAAGGUAUUUUGAUUUAGUAACAUGUCAAAACUUAAAAAAAAUUCUAAUUUUAUAAGGGUGAAAACUUUGAUUCAUUGUGUUGCUGCAUGAAAGAAUAGGUAAACAAGUCCAUGUUGACUCAAAGCCAAAACUUAUUUUACUAUGAGAAAUCAGUAUCGAAAAUCUAAACACCUCAGCACCAAGAAGCAUGACAUGAGAUCAAAACUCUAGCCAAAUCUUUAAGUUCUAUAGCAGCAAUAAAACCAAAUCAUCGAACAUGUCAGUUUUUAGGAGGACCCCAACAAUUUUAAUAAUUUGUAAUCUGCAUGAACUUGAUAAACAACAUCAACAAUUUGGACCCAUUUUUAAAACAUUGUUUUCUUCAUACCUGUGUUCACCCAAUUUGUACCCAUAGCAAACGUCUAAGUAUUUUUAUAUAUAAAUUUCUUUAUUUUUUCCGUAAUUUUAUAAUUAGUCAUUAUAAUUAUUUAAAUAUAUAUUUAAUAUUAAUUAAAAAAUUAUAUAAAAAUGGGUUCAUUUAGGAUC